GGGGAAUAUUGCGCAAUGGGCGAAAGCCUGACGCAGCGACGCCGCGUGAGUGAUGAAGGCCUUCGGGUUGUAAAGCUCUGUCGGACGGGAAAGAAAAGUUCGGAGGAACAAUACCCUUCGGACCUGACGGUACCCGUUCAGAAAGCACCGGCUAACUCCGUGCCAGCAGCCGCGGUAAUACGGAGGGUGCAAGCGUUGUUCGGAAUCAUUGGGCGUAAAGCGCGUGUAGGCGGGGUGGUGUGUCAGUUGUGAAAGCCCUCGGCUUAACCGAGGAAUUGCAGCUGAAACUGCCGCUCUUGAGUACGGGAGAGGGAAGCGGAAUUUCCAGUGUAGAAGUGAAAUUCGUAGAUAUUGGAAGGAACACCGGUGGCGAAGGCGGCUUCCUGGACCGAUACUGACGCUGAGACGCGAAAGCGUGGGUAGCAAAC
This 428-nucleotide ribosomal RNA is filed under the name uncultured bacterium. Its description in RNAcentral is "bacterial SSU rRNA". It matches the Rfam family "Bacterial small subunit ribosomal RNA", at positions 356 to 773 of the family's 1533-position model. The record is from RNAcentral.